This 1695-nucleotide ribosomal RNA is filed under the name Pueribacillus theae. Its description in RNAcentral is "Bacterial large subunit ribosomal RNA". It matches the Rfam family "Bacterial large subunit ribosomal RNA", at positions 1086 to 2344 of the family's 2925-position model. Lineage: Bacteria; Bacillati; Bacillota; Bacilli; Caryophanales; Bacillaceae. The record is from Rfam by way of RNAcentral.
CAGACAACCAGGAUGUUGGCUUAGAAGCAGCCAUCAUUGAAAGAGUGCGUAAUAGCUCACUGGUCGAGUGACUCUGCGCCGAAAAUGUACCGGGGCUAAACGGAUCACCGAAGCCGUGGAUUCCGGAGGUCAGAUAUCAGAGGCCGGAAAUCAGAGAAAAGGAAGAAGAAUAAAUGGCGAGCAGUUAUCAUGAACUCAGAGUGUAUGAAAUCUCUUAUGACUUAGCACUUCAAGUUCACCGAUUAACGCAGACAUUUCCAGACUUUGAAAAAUAUGAACUUGGUAGUCAACUUAGAAGAGCAGCGAUAUCCAUUCCUGUAAAUAUUGCGGAAGGAUAUGGCAAGAAAAGCUCAUUAGCUGACUUUAAACGGUUUUUAUAUAUCGCCCAAGGUUCAAAAGAUGAAGUCAAGGUUCUUCUUGAAAUGGUAAAGGAUCUUGGUUACAUUCCUAAUGAUACGUUUGAACGAAUGUAUCGGCAUUAUGAUGAAUUAGGAAAACAAUUGUACCGUAUGAUUCAAACCUGGGGAUAAUCUCGAUUUCUGACAUCUGGUUUCUGACAUCUGACUUCUGGAAUGGUAGGGGAGCGUUCUAAGUGCGGCGAAGCGAGACCGGAAGGACUCGUGGAGCGCUUAGAAGUGAGAAUGCCGGUAUAAGUAGCGAAAAGAGGGGUGAGAAUCCCCUCCGUCGAAAGCCUAAGGUUUCCUGAGGAAGGCUCGUCCGCUCAGGGUAAGUCGGGACCUAAGCCGAGGCCGAAAGGCGUAGGCGAUGGGCAACAGGUUGAAAUUCCUGUACCACCUCCUCUCCGUUUGAGCAACGGGGGGACGCAGGAAGGUAGGGCAAGCGUGCUGAUGGAGUGCACGUCCAAGCAGUAAGGCUGUCAGCGAGGCAAAUCCCGCUGGCGGAAGGCUGAGCUGUGAUGGCGAGGGAAACAGAAGUACUGAAGUUCCCGAUCCUACACUGCCAAGAAAAGCCUCUAGCGAGGAGAGAGGUGCCCGUACCGCAAACCGACACAGGUAGGCGAGGAGAGAAUCCUAAGACGCUCGGGAGAACUCUCGUUAAGGAACUCGGCAAAAUGACCCCGUAACUUCGGGAGAAGGGGUGCUUUCAGGGGUGAGAGCCCAGGAGAGCCGCAGUGACUAGAUCCAAGCGACUGUUUAGCAAAAACACAGGUCUCUGCCAAGCCGCAAGGCGAAGUAUAGGGGCUGACACCUGCCCGGUGCUGGAAGGUUAAGAGGAGGGGUUAGCUUAGGCGAAGCUCUGAAUUGAAGCCCCAGUAAACGGCGGCCGUAACUAUAACGGUCCUAAGGUAGCGAAAUUCCUUGUCGGGUAAGUUCCGACCCGCACGAAAGGUGCAACGACUUGGAUACUGUCUCAACGAGAGACCCGGUGAAAUUAUAGUAUGCGUGAAGAUGCGCAUUCCCCGCGACAGGACGGAAAGACCCCAUGGAGCUUUACUGUAGCUUGAUAUUGGAUUUUGGUAUCGCUUGUACAGGAUAGGUAGGAGCCAUGGAAGCCGGGCCGCCAGGUUCGGUGGAGGCAACGGUGGGAUACUACCCCUGCGGUACUGAAGUUCUAACCCGCAGCCGUCAUCCGGCUGGGAGACAGUGUCAGGUGGGCAGUUUGACUGGGGCGGUCGCCUCCUAAAAGGUAACGGAGGCGCCCAAAGGUUCCCUCAGAAUGGUUGGAAAUCAUUCG